RNAcentral lists this ribosomal RNA (497 nucleotides) under uncultured bacterium. Its description in RNAcentral is "partial 16S ribosomal RNA". It matches the Rfam family "Bacterial small subunit ribosomal RNA", at positions 28 to 507 of the family's 1533-position model. The record is from RNAcentral.
GAUGAACGCUGGCGGCGUGCCUAAUACAUGCAAGUCGAGCGAACGGACGAGAAGCUUGCUUUUCUGAUGUUAGCGGCGGACGGGUGAGUAACACGUGGAUAACCUACCUAUAAGACUGGGAUAGCUUCGGGAAACCGGAGCUAAUACCGGAUAAUAUUUUGAACCGCAUGGUUCAAAAGUGAAAGACGGUCUUGCUGUCACUUAUAGAUGGAUCCGCGCUGCAUUAGCUAGUUGGUAAGGUAACGGCUUACCAAGGCAACGAUGCAUAGCCGACCUGAGAGGGUGAUCGGCCACACUGGAACUGAGACACGGUCCAGACUCCUACGGGAGGCAGCAGUAGGGAAUCUUCCGCAAUGGGCGAAAGCCUGACGGAGCAACGCCGCGUGAGUGAUGAAGGUCUUCGGAUCGUAAAACUCUGUUAUUAGGGAAGAACAUAUGUGUAGGUAACUGUGCACAUCUUGACGGUACCUAAUCAGAAAGCCACGGCUAACUACGUG